UAUUGCGAAGGCGAUNUGCUGGAACUUAACUGACGCUAAUGCGUGAAAGCGUGGGGAGCAAACAGGAUUAGAUACCCUGGUAGUCCACGCCCUAAACGAUGUAUACCGGUUGUUGCUGUGCUAGUCACGGCAGUAAUCCACCUAACGGAUUAAGUAUACCGCCUGGGGAGUACGGUCGCAAGAUUAAAACUCAAAGGAAUAGACGGGGACCCGCACAAGCGGUGGAGCAUGUGGUUUAAUUCGAAGAUACGCGAAGAACCUUACCCGGACUUGAUAUCUAACAAAUCAUCCAGAGAUGGAAGAGUGUCUGCUUGCAGAAAUGUUAAGACAGGUGCUGCACGGCUGUCGUCAGCUCGUGUCGUGAGAUGUUGGGUUAAGUCCCGCAACGAGCGCAACCCACGUCAUUAGUUGCUAACGGUUCGGCCGAGCACUCUAAUGAGACUGCCUUCGUAAGGAGGAGGAAGGUGUGGACGACGUCAAGUCAUCAUGGCCCUUAUGUCCGGGGCGACACACGUGCUACAAUGGCAUAUACAAUAAGACGCAAUAUCGUAAGAUGGAGCAAAUCUAAAAAAUAUGUCCCAGUUCGGAUUGGAGUCUGCAACUCGACUCCAUGAAGCCGGAAUCGCUAGUAAUCGUAGAUCAGCCAUGCUACGGUGAAUACGUUCCCGGGUCUUGUACUCACCGCCCGUCACACCAUGGGAGUUGAUUUCACUCGAAGCGGGAAUGCGAAAUUCGCUNCC
RNAcentral lists this ribosomal RNA (740 nucleotides) under uncultured bacterium. RNAcentral describes it as "bacterial SSU rRNA". It matches the Rfam family "Bacterial small subunit ribosomal RNA", at positions 708 to 1454 of the family's 1533-position model. The record is from RNAcentral.